GUGUCCGCGGCUGCAGCGCUCAAUUGCUUCAGACCUAGGGCUAUUCUAAUUUAUGCUUGAGGCUACCUUUUACUUAGAGAAUCCUGGUUUCGUGACACUACAGACCAAUAGACAUGUUUGAAAGUCAACAAAGGUCUAGUCUAGCAUCUUUUUUUUUUUACAGGUCAGGAACAUUUCAUGGGUAAAUGCUUCUGCCGAGGAGAAAGAUCUAAGACGCAUUAGCGCCUCUUGCACUUCAGUCUCUUUCUGUACCUCGCCCAGACCAGUCCCCCCUACAAGAUCACUAUGCCUCCUCACAGGAAUGUUUUUUCCCAGCAGUACCCAAGGAACCAAUGCAGCAGGACAUUUCAGCUGAAGAGGGAUUUUCCUCUUCAGACAAAGAGCUUGUUUUGCGUAAUUUUGCUCACACUACAAUGCAAAGCCUUAACUCUCACCCCAGCAAGAUCUAGUGAUGACAGCCCCUCUCUACCAUUUCAUACUUAAGUUUCCAGUGAGAUGAAUGCUG
Long non-coding RNA from Chelonoidis abingdonii (Abingdon island giant tortoise), 505 nucleotides. RefSeq lists it as uncharacterized. NCBI's taxonomy places the organism in Eukaryota, Metazoa, Chordata, Testudines, Testudinidae. The record is from RefSeq and is a predicted model, not a curated record.